This 406-nucleotide ribosomal RNA is filed under the name uncultured bacterium. RNAcentral's name for it is "partial 16S ribosomal RNA". It matches the Rfam family "Bacterial small subunit ribosomal RNA", at positions 30 to 526 of the family's 1533-position model. The record is from RNAcentral.
AUCGAACGCUGGCGGCAGGCCUAACACAUGCAAGUCGAGCGAGCGGCGGACGGGUGAGUAAUGGCUGGGAAACUGCCUGAUGGAGGGGGCUAACUACUGGAAACGGUAGCUAAUACCGCUUACCGUCAUUUCGGCCCUGGUGGGAUUAGCUAGUAGGUGGGGUAAUGGCUCACCUAGGCGACGAUCCCUAGCUGGUCUGAGAGGAUGACCGGCCACACUGGAACUGAGACACGGCCCAGACUCCUACGGGAGGCAGCAGUGGGGAAUAUUGCGCAAUGGGCGCAAGCCUGAUGGAGCAAUGCCGCGUGUGUGAAGAAGGCCUUCGGGUUGUAAAGCACUUUCAGCGGGGAGGCGUUACUCGAAGAGGAAGCACCGGCUAACUCCGUGCCAGCAGCCGCGGUAAUUC